RNAcentral lists this transfer RNA (62 nucleotides) under Limassolla sp. XZ-2020. RNAcentral's name for it is "tRNA-Asp". It matches the Rfam family "tRNA". From Rfam's summary of the family: Transfer RNA (tRNA) molecules are approximately 80 nucleotides in length. Their secondary structure includes four short double-helical elements and three loops (D, anti-codon, and T loops). Lineage: Eukaryota; Metazoa; Arthropoda; Insecta; Hemiptera; Cicadellidae. The record is from RNAcentral. RNAcentral also lists the same sequence under 1 other name.
AAAGAUUUAGUUUAAUAAAACAUUAAGUUGUCAAUUUAAAAAUACUUUCUAAGUAAUCUUUU